ACUCCUGGAAAUAACAAUAACAGCACAUCUCAAACUUCAUAAUCUACCGUGAUCUGCCACAGUAUAUUUCAGCUGGAGUACACUCUAGAAAUGAUUUUUAAAGUAAACUUGGAUAUAAAAUGUCCAGAAAACAUUAAGGUAAAGAGAACAUGCAGGUAAAAUGUAAUUAACAUGGCAAUAAUGUUGCAAUUUAAAAAAAUUUUAAUUGUAACAAAAAUACACUUUAUUUCCUUUUUUUAGGUUUUGGGGUAAAAUUAGACAUUUACAUAAUUAUGUGUUCAACCUUUGUAUUUAUAAAGUGAGUAUCAUGCACUAAAAAAAAAAUAUAUUUGAAACCAUUUUCACUUCAAAAUUACUAGUAAAUUUAACAAAUUAGGCAAUUACAGAAAAAUGGCACAUAACACAUUAAAUUAAAUGUGAAAUUUUGAAAUUGAAAAAAAAAAAGAUCUUCUCAUAAAACGCACACAAAUAAUCUUAUUUUUUAUAUUCUGCUUGGUGAUUAUUUUUUUUUUAGUUGAUGCCCAUUUUUCAAAUCUAGUACGUUUAACAGUUUGUUAAAAAAACAAUACAUCUACAUAAAUUAAACAAAGCAAUAACAUCCUGAUUUAAAAUAAUUUUGUCAUGUUUUAUAAAUAUUUUUGUGUAAAAAAAAAAAAAUAACACCAUGACAAAGAAAAAUUCUUAUAAAUGAAUGCCUGUUUUUCAAGUAAAUUAUAACCUGGAUAUGCUGAAACCAGUUAUUGCUCCAGCUGCAUUUAUUGUAUUUUAUAACACAAGUCUAUUUGAUACAUAUUUAAUAUGAUGCUGCAUUAAUAUGAACCAGUAUAAUCAUUUAGACUCUAUAAGAAAGCGUAAAUUAAAUGAGUGGAAGCGUGAGCUCUUACCUGAUCUGAUCCGUCUGCUGUGAUUCUGCUCUGUGAGUGUGAGUGUGUGUGUGUGCGUGUGUGUGUGUGGGGCUCUCGAAGCUCUUGAGAAGUUCUCAUGACCGUCACGGGUUCAGUCCUCCAUCUGACUGUCUGCUGACCGCCUUCACUGCGAUAACUGACCUCAGAUCAGAGGAAACGCUCUAACCAGAUUACAGACUAAACUAAUGUUUAUGCUUGAGUUAACAGUGUGUGAAAAUACUUUCUCUGGGACUUGAAACACACACAGGUCUGUUCAGAGAGGAAUACUGUCUGAAGAAUCAUCUCUGUGUUCAUUCUCAAUACAAGGACUUUUUUUUAUUAAUGUUUUAAUUUCAUUAAGAUAUAGAAGAUGAUUGAGAUGUAAAGUUACUCCUGGAGCUCGCUAUAUCCUGAAGCUGCAGUGAAACAAAACCAGGACUGUUCCAAAGCUUCAGAAGAUGAGAUCUGAUGAGCUGCUGUAAUACUGAAGAUCUCCAGCAGAGAGCGACACUUCACUGUCUGAGAUGUGCUGAAGUGUGUGUACAUCUGAAGUGUGUGUCUCUAGAUCUGAAGUGUGUCUCUAGAUCUUAAGUGUUUUCUAGAUUUGAAGUGUAUGUCUUAGUAGAUCUUGUCCAGAUCUAAAGUUUUUGUCUAGAACUGAAGUGUGUCUACAUCUGAAGUGUUUUUCUAGAUCUUAAGUGUUUUCCAGAUUUGAAGUGUAUGUCCAGAUCUAAAGUGUGUCUCUAGAUUUGAAGUGUUUUUCUAGAUUUGUAGUGUGUGUGUCUACAUCUGAAAUGUGUCUCUAGAUUUGAAGUGUGUCUCUAGAUCUCCAGUCUUUUUCUAGAUUUGAAGUGUAUGUCUAGAACUGAAGUGUUUUUCUAGAUCUCAAGUCUUUUUCUAGAUUUGAAGUGUUUUCUAGAUCUGAAAUGUAUGUCUAGAACUGAAGUGUUUUUCUAGAUCUCAAGUCUUUUUCUAGAUUUGAAGUGUUUUUCUAGAGCUGAGGUGUGUGUCUAGAUCUGCUUCUGGUUUAUAUUCAGAAGUGUGUACAGUCAGAGCUCAAGUCUGUGUUUUCAUAAUGUCUGAAUAUCCCAGUAUUUUAUUCUCGUCUUCUAGAGGACAUCAGAUGUAGUGAAUGUCUCUGAAACUGUCCAUGGCACUUUACUUUGACAGUAAAUGAUCUGAUUUUUUGGUUUU
Long non-coding RNA from Carassius gibelio (silver crucian carp), 2078 nucleotides. RefSeq lists it as uncharacterized. The record is from RefSeq and is a predicted model, not a curated record. Lineage: Eukaryota; Metazoa; Chordata; Actinopteri; Cypriniformes; Cyprinidae. The transcript has 2 exons.